This 517-nucleotide ribosomal RNA is filed under the name uncultured Acidobacteriota bacterium. Its description in RNAcentral is "bacterial SSU rRNA". It matches the Rfam family "Bacterial small subunit ribosomal RNA", at positions 356 to 864 of the family's 1533-position model. Lineage: Bacteria; Pseudomonadati; Acidobacteriota. The record is from RNAcentral.
UGGGAAUUGUUCGCAAUGGGCGAAAGCCUGACGACGCAACGCCGCGUGGAGGAUGAAGACUUUCGGGUCGUAAACUCCUUUCGACCGAGAUGAAUUCCCUCCGACUUAACACGUCGGAGGGGCGACAGUAUCGAGGGAAGAAGCCCCGGCUAACUCUGUGCCAGCAGCCGCGGUAAUACAGGGGGGCAAGCGUUGUUCGGAAUUACUGGGCGUAAAGGGUUCGUAGGUGGCCAACUAAGUCAUACGUGAAAUCCCUCAGCUUAACUGGGGAACUGCGUCUGAUACUGGUUGGCUUGAGUGCAGGAGAGGAACGCGGAAUUCCAGGUGUAGCGGUGAAAUGCGUAGAUAUCUGGAGGAACACCGGUGGCGAAGGCGGCGUUCUGGACUGCAACUGACACUGAGGAACGAAAGCCAGGGGAGCAAACGGGAUUAGAUACCCCGGUAGUCCUGGCCCUAAACGAUGAAUGCUUGGUGUGGCGGGUAUCGAUCCCUGCCGUGCCGAAGUUAACGCGAUAAG